RNAcentral lists this long non-coding RNA (265 nucleotides) under Lathyrus oleraceus (garden pea). RNAcentral's name for it is "Pisum sativum (pea) long non-coding RNA (PSAT_LNC004595)". Lineage: Eukaryota; Viridiplantae; Streptophyta; Magnoliopsida; Fabales; Fabaceae. The record is from RNAcentral.
AUGAAUCCUAAUUUCUUUCGCAUCAGUUGAAACCUCAAACCGAGUUGUUUGCAAAAAAAUUUUGCCUUUUGCUUAUUCUUAAGUAGGGAGCAUUAUUGAAUAAAUCGGUUGUGGAAUCUAAAGUUGGGAGAGUAAAGUGAAGAGUUGAUAGGGAACUUGGAAUAGUGAGUUUCUUUGGAAGGGUAAGAAUAUGAAAAGAAACAAGAAAAAGAAAUCACCCUUGAAACCAUAGAGCAUAUAAAAAAAAAAAUAAAAAAUAAAUAAA